Equus caballus (horse) is the source of this 1564-nucleotide long non-coding RNA. Lineage: Eukaryota; Metazoa; Chordata; Mammalia; Perissodactyla; Equidae. The record is from Ensembl.
CUCCUGUGAGCCACAUAUGCCGUGGCAGGGAGCCAGGCUCAAGAUGUCUUGAUGGUACCAUGUUGGCCACUUGUGGAGUAUCCUGAGGAACAGGAUCAAAAGGAAGGUCCUAUGAGGGCGUCAGAGAGUAGGCAGCCCACAUCCAGAAGAUUCGUCACGCAGAGACCCCCAUGAAAGCCGGAACGAAGUUCCACUCACUGAUGGCAUUGAUGGCUGCUUUACAACAGCAUAUGGAGUAUGACAUCUGACCUGACACCUAGCGCCCCAAAAAGGACAGGACAGGGGGCAGGGCACCUGCUGCUUCAGGGCAAAGCAGCAGGUGAGGGGGAAGAGGAAGGAAGAGUGCCAGCCAGACCCCGCUCCCCAUCCUUCCCUCCUGUGGGGUUUCUAGCUUGGGUCAGGCUGAGACAAGGAGAGGGAAGCAGACUGGAGCUGGCCGUGAGGCUGAAUUUUAUAGAAACAGCGCUGGACGUUUUCACACCUGAAAAUUACUCUUAAUUACAAAAGUUAACAGGAGAGCAAAGCCAUCUGUCUGAGAUGCUGAUAAGAGAAGGAAGGUGCAAUGGAGUUUGAAGGCCAUAGUAGAUGAAGACUCCUUUGUAAAUUGAUGACACCUUGGUCCCACUCCUCCAUCUUUGUGUCUGGAAUGUCCCACCCAAUACAGGAUCCUUUCUUUCCGCUGGAUAUGCGUUUUCCAGUCAAGCACCAUCCCUUUGGGAGCCGUCCCUCCCAGCAUCACAGGAGCUUGUUCCUGUGUUCCCGAUGGGGUUCACCUGGCCUCCCAGGGGUGGGCUCAUCUCCUGAGCUUGACCAAUCGGAGGACUCCACCCCCCUGACCUACCAAGAAAGAGUUGCCCCCAACUGUGUUUUGUUAGAUUCUGUAUUUGCCUAUUUGGCAUCCAUCCAUCACAGGGCCAACUAUAUUAACUAUAUUUGCUUAUUUUCUGUAUUCUUGAUGCUCUACCCUUUGUGGCCUCGCUGACUGGGGAGAGACAGGGCCAGCUAAUUCCUAGUGAUGGUAAAUAACUUGCUUGCAGACACGCCUUGCACAUGCAUCCAAGCAGUCCAAGCCCAUACUCAACCGCCCCCUUCACCUAACUCCCUCCCACCACACCUGGAAUCACCCAGGGCGGACGCCAGAAAUCCAGGCACAGCCCGACACCCCAGAGCCACCGGGAUUAUUCCCACUAGCCAGUGCCCAGCUGUCACCCUGCCCCACCUCGCCUGUGCCCUGGAAACCCACGAAGGCUCUGGCUAGACUUCCCCUCCCUUUGCUGCUUCUGCCUCCUGAUGGAAAUUGGUGCUUCCCUGCGCGGCAGGACACGCCCCUCCUCUCAGGAGCUGGUCGGCAUGUUACAAAGUAUUUGCACACCUGGGCUGCUCAAAGUGUGGCCGGCAGACAGUGCUGGUUCGUGAACUGUUUCUUAUUGAUUUGUGUCUAGUACAGAAAUUGAAGUCUUGAAAAUGGAGCUUCAACUCCACAAGCCUCGGUCCACUUGUAAACGAAGUGGAGACGGCAGCAUCUGCCUCAAUGUUUGCUGCAACAUUGCAUGUUGUAUCUGAG